This 254-nucleotide long non-coding RNA is filed under the name Cyclopterus lumpus (lumpfish). RNAcentral's name for it is "lncRNA (ENSCLMG00005016939.1)". The record is from RNAcentral. Lineage: Eukaryota; Metazoa; Chordata; Actinopteri; Perciformes; Cyclopteridae.
AUUUUAUUCAGUGUAUAAUCUGUUUGCUAUCAUUGUAGAGGCAGUGCAGUGCUUGUGAAUACAAGGAGCUAAUUUACCCAAUGCUUGGUUUGAUCAUCAACCUUUCAGCUAUCACAUCCCCAAUCAUUCAGGAGCAUGCUGUUUCACUCUGCAACUGCUGCCUGGGUCUUCUGAGGGAUAGUGAUGGAGGAGUGAUAACUAGAGCCACAGGUGUGCUGAGCACUGUCCUCCCUCAGUCCCCUGAGGCCGUUCAG